RNAcentral lists this unclassified non-coding RNA (290 nucleotides) under uncultured fungus. RNAcentral describes it as "sequence contains 5.8S rRNA gene". The stretch from base 1 to 53 matches the Rfam family "5.8S ribosomal RNA", at positions 102 to 154 of the family's 154-position model. The record is from RNAcentral. Lineage: Eukaryota; Fungi.
UAACGCACCUUGCACUCCUUGGUAUUCCGAGGAGUAUGCCUGUUUGAGUGUCAUUAAAUUCUCAAACCUCACUAGUUUUGCGACUUGUUGAGGCUUUGGAUGUGGGGGUUGCUGGCUUUCACGAGUCAGCUCUCCUUAAAUGCAUUAGCGGUUACUGUUCGCUACAUCCUGGUGUGAUAAUAUCAACGCCUAGUAGUGAUGUUAAGUGUAGCUGCUUCAAACCGUCUGAGAAUUCGGACAAUCUGAACCAUUUGACCUCAAAUCAGGUAGGACUACCCGCUGAACUUAAG